This 687-nucleotide ribosomal RNA is filed under the name Triticum aestivum (bread wheat). Its description in RNAcentral is "partial small subunit ribosomal RNA". Lineage: Eukaryota; Viridiplantae; Streptophyta; Magnoliopsida; Poales; Poaceae. The record is from RNAcentral.
AUGUUCUCGUUCCAAUCUGCAAGCCACAUCAAUAACAUCAGAAUGUCCCUCAUUAAUGCCCAGAAGGGGAAUCUUUCUGUCGCCUCCUACUUCACCGACAUGCGUGGCUACGCCGACGAGCUAGCCGCCGCGGGCAAGGUGAUCCCCAACGAUGAACUCACCCCCUACAUCAUCCAUGGGCUCGACGCCGACUACCAGCCCCUGGUCUCUGCCCUCGACGCUCCGGUGACCGCUGUGACCCUUGAUGAGCUCUUUGCCAUGCUAUCAAAUUUCGAUCAGCGCACGGUUCAGUUCCAAGGGGCCGGCGACGGUGGCUUCAAAUCGUCUGCCAACGUGGCUACUCACGGGCAGGGAGGCGACUCCCAAUCGCGUGGCUCCUCUCGCAAUAAGGCAAGGUCUAGCGGUGGCAACAACGGCGACACGCCACCACCCCGCUCUGGUGGUCGGGGUCGCCGCGGGCGCGGCGGCAGUGGUGGUGGCAGAAACUGCUCGGAUACCCCCCAGUGCCAAAUCUGCGGCAAGCCCAGACACACAUCAAAAGAUUGCCGGUACUGGUAUGAAGAGGACGACUACGACUCUCAAGCAACGAAAAAUUUGCCACGACUGCGGAUGGCUCCUAUGGUGUCGACACGAACUGGUAUGUCGACAGCGGAGCUACCAACCACAUCACCAACGAGCUCGAGAUAG